ACUGUCGGCUGCCUUACACCGCGCCUCCCGUCCACCUCAAAGCUGAUAUGGAUGGGCCGCUCUCCAGCCGGGGUGAGAAGGUAAAUGGAGCCAGGUUGGUCUGCUGGAUCAGAGCCUUCCUGCUGCGGGGCUGAGUUUCUGGCAGUAUUUCCCGUCCUUGAGUGGGCAGCCUGCCUCUCUGUGGCAGACCAUCUCUGCCCAGCCAGCUCUGGCCCACUCUGUGCCCAUGAGAGGCAUCUGAGCAGCUGCUGGCAUGUUCCACAUGCGCCCACUCCACAGGCCUCCUUCGCCCCGUCCUCUCACUGGCAGGGUGGCUUCUCUUUUGUCACACUGGAGAAUUUACUCAAGCUUUGAGGCUUUUGCAGGGAGGGCUUCUGGUGGGGCAAAGAGACAGCAGGCCAGCAAGGAACCUCGGCCAACUGGCAGGGCUCCUCUGUGGAACCGGAUCUCUGGUUGUUUGAGGCGUUGGGAAUGAAUGUCUAGAAGAUGCUUAGGUAUUACCCAGUCCAGCAGCUGGAAGGCUUUGCUUUUUAAGCAUUGGAACCCUUCGUUUAGUCUCAUCAGUAUCACAGAUGAAUUUAGACGGAGCUGCUCUGAGUGCAACCAUGGAGCGGGUAGGAGCCUCACCUCCCGCUCAGCUCUGAGGCAUCCCAGAGCUAGCCUUAAAAGCCAUUGAGCUGAGACAGCCUCUCCUUUUAGAAGAGGGAAAUCGAGGCCAAGAAGCUGAAGGUCAGAGCCUGGAUGAGAACCUGUGCGUUUAUUCAUUCACUUACUCAUUACUCACAGAUAAGUAAAGCAUGGCUGCUGCUCGAGGAGGCCACAUCUGGAGGGGGAGACAGACUCCAGCAUUUGCAACCCGGCUGAUCACACUGUGAUAGGGAGCUGUGGGAUGGGGGAAGAGUGGGGGCAGGGAGAGAUGGAGGGAAGACUUCCUGGAGGAAGGCAGCCCCAAAACGCAGGCCUGACACUGGAUCAGGGCUCAUCAAAGACAGCCAUCCCAGCUCUUAGGGAAUCCUGAACCAUUCCAUGUCACUGGGACAGGCUUGGGAGGAAAAGUGGUGAGAAAUGGGACCAAGGGGCUGACAGGCAGAGGACCUGGACUUUAUCCCGGGGCAGUGGGGGACCUUGGAAGGCCUUGCAGAGACAGCACUGUGAUGGUCCUCAGAGAGGUCGGCUGGAAGAUGUGCCGUGGGAGGCAUGGAGCCACCCUGAGUCAGAUGGUACAGUGGUCCAGGGAGACAGAGACCAUGCUUUAGAGGUGGAAGGUCCAUCAGGAGCCCUCCAGUCCUGUGGAUCCCAGUCUUCAUGUGUCUUGGAAUCACCGGGGCAGCUUGGAAAAACAGAUUCCCAAGCCAGAGUCUGAUGGCGAGACUGGAAUGGGGUACAUUGACCUGCAUUUGUGAUGCUCAGCCCCUGUGAUUCUGAUGGGCAGCUCCAGGUGCAGAACACUUCUCCAGGGUAUUUCCUCUGGCUGUGCCUCCUGAUUGAGCACCUACUGUGUGUUGGGCUCUCUGUGAUUGGCAAUGUGAGGGAAUAUCUAUAGUACGGAGGUGAAAACAGCCUAGUUGCACAGAUAUGUUUCCAAGUAGGUGGUGGUGUUCAACACAAGAAUCAGGUGGUCGGGGAGCACACCGCAGGAAGGUCCCUUCUGAGACUGUCACAUUCACAGUAAGAACUGCUAUUUGUUGAGCUCGUCUUCUGUUCCACUUUACACACAUCUUCUGGUUGACACCUCCCAGCUUCUUGGUGGGCAUGGAGAUGGCCUUUCUCAUUGUAGAAAUAAAUGGACUGAGGUUCAGAGAGAUGAGGUGAUUUGUCGAGGGGUGCAGCAAGUUUGCUGGACUCUGAAGUCUAUGAAGCUCAGUAGAUUCUUCCUUUCUUGUACCACUUCACAUUUCUACAGGACUGUCUCUGACAGUAUCCUUUACAGCCUCCCUGGGAGGAUGGCUAUGAUGGAACUCCAUGUCACCUCUGGAAACGGAGGCUCAGAGAAGUAGCUCAUCCAGGUCACACUGAGUGUGGACACAGCAGGCCUCGAUCUAAGGACCACCUGCCUCAUACCUGCCUCUUUCUUGUGGGAGAUCAUUGGUCCUACCAGACCUGGCACUGGCUUUGCAGAAGAGAUCUGACCUGAUACCCACCCACAAGAAACUUGUGACUUAGAGUAGGACAUGGACAGUUAUACCAUAAGGCAAUGGGGUAGUUGGAGUGGGGGCAGCCAUGGCCUUGGAGGACCCAGAAGAGGGAGUGACAACUUUAGGGGAGAAGCAGGGUAUGAGGAGAAGGGCAUUCCAUGUUGGGAGAACAGCAAGUGCUGAUGCACAGAAGCAAGGAGAAGCCUGGCUUUGAGGGGAUUGUGGGGUGUUUAGUGGGGUGGAGGCCCAGGGAAGUGGAGGAGCAGCCAGGGCUACAUACUGAAAAGCCUGGUACCCUAGGCAUUAUAUAGAGGGAAGGGUUGGGCCUUGGAAGUGCAUAGGGCUGGGCUCAGUGCUUGGAGAGGAGCCCUGCCUCCUGGUUGCUCAGCUAAGCUUGUGGUUAUUUCUGGUUCAGCCUGAAAGACGAGCCAGGCUGGGCAUUGGCAACUUUGGCUCUAGGAUUCUGGCCCCUGGGUUUGUCUAGUGAGCCAGAAUUCACUCUUUCUGGGCUGUGUCCCCGGAUUUGUAUCCAGAUGCUCUGCAUUAAAGUGUGUCUCCCUCCUUUGUGACCCACUGCCCUCUCACUGUCAGAACUUCCCUCAACUUCCAGGGAUUUUUCCCAUCCACAUAUUGUCAAACCUGUGGGCUUGGUGGGUCACAGGGCUUGGGCUGAGCAGGCAGCGUAGGACUGUAUGGGCUGUCUCCCAAGUCCCUCCGGGCCUGAGCCAGCCUAGCUGUGGGGAGACUGUGUCCCCCUGGGUCUGGUCCUUGAGCCCACUCAUCUGGAUCAGGGCUGGUUUGGCCAGGAGAACAAUGACCCGAGCAUUCUCAGGGUGGGAGGAGCUUCCUGUCCACUGCGUCAUCAUUUGGCCACAUACGCCUGUGCGUUUCCAGAACCACAUUUCUUCCUGGUUGUGUACCCUGAUCCCACAACUUCAGCACUUGGAAGGUUCUUAGAAAUCAGGACCAAGAGGUUAUUAUUCAAAUAUUAGGUCAUUGAGGGACUGAGGCCCCUGUAGGGGACAGGUUUGACUGGGGUAAUCUUUUUUUUUUUGGGGGGGGGUGCUCCUUUUAAUAAGAGCUUAAAGCCAGGUGUCCUGCAGAUCCAGUGGAAAUAAGGCACAAGGCUGGGGGAAGAAUGCAGUGUGAGCUUUGGAGCCCAGCCACCCUGAGCCCAGAUCUGCCACCUCCUCCCUCUGAGACCUGGAAACACGAUUAGCUUCUCAGAGUUUCAGUUUCUGCAUUUAUAAAAUGGGGACAAUAAUGGCUCCCACCACCCGGGUUUGCUGUGGAGACUAAAUGCAAUGACUUGUGUAAAGAGCUUAGCACAGUGUCCCAUAGGCAGAAAGCACUCCAUGGGUACUGGUCGUCAUUAUGAUUGCAGUAGUCUACUCGUAUCUGUAGGGCUAUGUUCCAAGACCCCCAGUGGGGGCCUGAAACCCUGGAUAGUAUUGAACCUUAUAUAAUAGUAUAUUUUUCCUAUACAUACAUACCUCUGAUAAAGGUUGAUUUAUAAAUUAGGCACAUUAAGAAAUUAACAACAACAAUAAUAAAAUAGAACAAUCAUAAUGUACUCUAAUAAUAGUUAUAUGAGUGUGAUCCCUCUCUUUUGAAAGAGUCAAGACCAAUAUUAAUAUUCUUGGACUGUGGUUGACUGCAGAUAACUGAAACUGUAGGUAAGGGGGAGGGGACUACCAUGCUACUAUGGAGGUCAACAUCUUUGCUUUCCUCCUCCACCUCCUCUGGUAGCUGAUUCUGGGCAAGAAACAUCCUGAUCAGAAAAUGUAUCAGCGAUGUGACGGUGCCCACUGGCAGACUCUGGGCCACUUGAAACCUCCUCCUCCUAUUUUCCUGUGAAAAGGGACACCCCAUUUUGACCAGCCAGCCAGUAACCCUUGACCUGAACUUCAGGGGAUGGGUUGUAUGGGUGGCAGUAAGAUGUCAGCCAGGUGCUCUAAGUGGAAGAGGGAAAGAGAAAGGAGCAGAGGCCCACCCACUCGCUGUGCAUCAGCCUCUGGCUUAGCCACAUGCCUUGGCUUUGUGCAGAUCCGGUGCACACUGGGUGCUUAGCCCUUGGCUUGGUAGAUUGUGUGCCGUGGGCAGCUGUUGUCAUGGUGGUGUUGGAGAGGUAGAGAUGGGAGGUUUAGUAAAGAGCCUGCCUGGAUUCCAGUGUUGGUGUGCCUCUUCCUAGCUGUGAUCAUAGACUCACUAACUGCCACUUCUUUCAGCCUUGGUGCCCUCCCUGUAAAAUAGAGACCAUCACAGUAGGACUUCCUCAUGGGCUUGAGGUGCAGCUUCAUUGAAGCAAUUUAUGGAGGGAGCAGGGUAAAGUACCCAGUAGGUUUUUGCUUCUGCUAUUGUAUCUCAUUGAAUCCUCCCUGUUCUGAGAGGUUUUGUCAUCCCUGUUUACAGAUGAGGAAAUAGGCUCAGAGAGGGGAAGUGAGUUGUCCAAAGUCCCACAGCAAGUAAGCUGCCAGAGUCAAGAUUUAAACCCAGAUCUAGGCCCUGAGCCCUUCCUUAUGCUGCAUGACUUUGAGGAUCCCUGGGGGCUGCCAAGUGGGGCAGGCUCCCAACUCAGCCACCUCCCAUGCCCUCCUCUUGCAGGUCAUCCUUUUUCAGUACUAACGCUGUCGGCACUUCCGCAUCUGUCCAUGGGCACCCCACAGCUGCCCCUCAGCCGCUGAGAUCCAGUGUCCAAACUGUGGCCAGGGAUCCACCGCCUCCUCCGCAUCCACCCCCACCCGCCAUUCUGCCCGCCGCCAGCUGGGCCCCCAGGCCUGGCCUUCCCUCUCCUGCUGAGAACCAGAACUGGCCAGGAGCAUCACAGAGUCCUCCUCUUGGAAGGCAGAGCUCCCUGAAAUUUGGAAUCAGGGUGAAAACAACAGCCUGUUUUUCCCAUUUAAACAGGAGUCAUCUUCAACUUCAGCUGAUUACAAUAGCAAAAGACAAAUUGAAUCAUGCGACACCAACAGCCUCCUAAUUUACAGGUUUUCUUCCCCGCCCUCCCACCCCCAUUGGCCUUUAUUUACUACUUCCUUGGAACCAUCUCUGAAUUCCGAAUAGCCGACAACCCCCAAUGUCAUCCACUCUGUUGCUUUUGUCUGGAAAACUCUACAGUGUUUGUGGGAUGUCCCCAAAGGAAAGCUAUGUUCUAAUUUUAUCAUUUCCAUCUGUCUGGUUAUGUCAAGUUAAUUCAGAAAGAGAAGAGACACUGACCAACCCUGAGAGGCCCAGUAGGGCAGAGAUGGAGGCCUGCCCAGACCAAGAGGCAGAGGGACAGGCGGGGGAUGGGGGACAAAGGCCCCCAUUGGUUGGAGAUCGAGGAGAGGGAUGUGGCACAUGUGGCACUCUGCACUGGGAGAGGCACUAACCAUCUCAAGGAGGGGAAAGCGAACACUUGGGACGGAGGGGAAACCCUACCCCCACCUGACUAUCUAACAUAAGUGCAGGAGACGUAGCAAAGAUGGUAUUUGAUCUGUGUGAUGCUGCUGCUGAGUGUUUGGGCAGGCUAGAGUUGGGGAUGCUUUUUGGCUGCUGGUUCACUACUGAUAGGGGUGCCUGGGCUAGGGGACCACUCUUGGGGGCCAAGGAACAGAGCCCAGUGAAAUGAGAGCCAGAAUGUAAACUCUGAUCCAUCUCUGAGUCGAGAGGUACCCACUGCUUAGGUGAGUGUGCCAAGCUAGUCCUAUGGGCUUCCCUGCCAACCCUGCCCAGAGCCAGCCCCACCCACUCCUGAGAACAAGGCUAGACACAGCUGUGCUCUCAUCCACCCCAUCCUGCUGCAACUCUUCCACCUGAAACCAAGGGCUUGGGCAAAUAGGACCAUGAUAUUUAUGUUUUCAGGGGAUGCCCAUUUGCCCCAAGCUUAUCCUAUAAUUCUAGAACUACUUGGAGACCUAGUGCAUUUCCCACUAGAGGCUGCUAGUAAGCAUGCUUUAGCCCCAGUCCUCCUGCCUGCUUUUGGAAGGAGACUCCAGGACAGGGAAAGCAAGUUUAUAGUUAUACGCAGCUGUGGUCCCUCUGUCUUCACCCAUAGCAGACAUCACUAAUAGAUGCACUCUCUCUGAGUCUGGAUAAGGUUUCGGGAUUCACAUGCUUGAAGUUGGCACUUAAUGAGAACUUACAUGCCAUUUUCUCUGGAGGAGGCCUAGGCAUGGGUGAGGCCCAAGAAGGGAACCUGCAUUCUGUCCCUUCCAAAGAUGUUACAGCUAACUAAGGUCAAAGAGAAAGCACCACUCAGAAUGUGGUGAAUAUAGCUCAGUUCAGAAGUCAUCCAGUGAAAACUUGUGCUGCCUCUGUCUGGGCACUGAACUAACAGGAGUGACCUGGGCCUGAUCCCUGGCCUUGGGGAGCUCAGAUCUUUCCUUUGAUUUUUGCUCCUAAUGAUCAAAGCCCCAAUCACAACCAUGUGGUAAGCAGCCAACUGAGCCUUGCCCAGGGUCACCCAGGAUCCUCUCUGUCUUGAGUCUCUCCCCAGGGUCUGUUCCUUGCGUGGACUACAUGACAGUAGCAUGUUGCAGUUCAAACGUCUCCAUUACCCUGUUAAGAGCAGCCUGGGAACACACAGGCCGACAAGACUAUUUAUUUAAAUACAAAAGGGGAAAUACACACAUGGAAUAAAAAUUGUAAGCACUUUUUUUGUAAAACCAAUGUCUGUUUUGUUACAUAUCUUUCAUGUUGUGCUUUGUAAAUGUCUUA
This 6833-nucleotide long non-coding RNA is filed under the name Marmota monax (woodchuck). Lineage: Eukaryota; Metazoa; Chordata; Mammalia; Rodentia; Sciuridae. The record is from RNAcentral.